GACGAACGCUGGCGGCGUGCUUAACACAUGCAAGUCGAACGGAAAGGCCCUGCGUUUGUGGGGUGCUCGAGUGGCGAACGGGUGAGUAACACGUGAGUAACCUGCCCUUGACUUUGGGAUAACUUCAGGAAACUGGGGCUAAUACCGGAUAGGAGCUCCUGCUGCAUGGUGGGGGUUGGAAAGUUUCGGCGGUUGGGGAUGGACUCGCGGCUUAUCAGCUUGUUGGUGGGGUAGUGGCUUACCAAGGCUUUGACGGGUAGCCGGCCUGAGAGGGUGACCGGCCACAUUGGGACUGAGAUACGGCCCAGACUCCUACGGGAGGCAGCAGUGGGGAAUAUUGCACAAUGGGCGGAAGCCUGAUGCAGCAACGCCGCGUGCGGGAUGACGGCCUUCGGGUUGUAAACCGCUUUCGCCUGUGGCGAAGCGUGAGUGACGGUAAUGGGUAAAGAAGCACCGGCUAACUACGUG
This 468-nucleotide ribosomal RNA is filed under the name uncultured bacterium. RNAcentral describes it as "partial 16S ribosomal RNA". It matches the Rfam family "Bacterial small subunit ribosomal RNA", at positions 28 to 507 of the family's 1533-position model. The record is from RNAcentral.